This 446-nucleotide ribosomal RNA is filed under the name uncultured bacterium. Its description in RNAcentral is "bacterial SSU rRNA". It matches the Rfam family "Bacterial small subunit ribosomal RNA", at positions 329 to 792 of the family's 1533-position model. The record is from RNAcentral.
GUCCAGACUCCUACGGGAGGCAGCAGUGGGGAAUAUUGCACAAUGGGGGAAACCCUGAUGCAGCGACGCCGCGUGAGCGAUGAAGUAUUUCGGUAUGUAAAGCUCUAUCAGCAGGGAAGAAGAUGACGGUACCUGACUAAGAAGCCCCGGCUAACUACGUGCCAGCAGCCGCGGUAAUACGUAGGGGGCAAGCGUUAUCCGGAUUUACUGGGUGUAAAGGGAGCGUAGACGGCGGUGCAAGCCAGAUGUGAAAGCCCGGGGCUCAACCCCGGGACUGCAUUUGGAACUGUAUGGCUGGAGUGUCGGAGAGGCAGGCGGAAUUCCUAGUGUAGCGGUGAAAUGCGUAGAUAUUAGGAGGAACACCAGUGGCGAAGGCGGCCUGCUGGACGAUGACUGACGUUGAGGCUCGAAAGCGUGGGGAGCAAACAGGAUUAGAUACCCUUGUA